CCUGUUAGCUACUGCGGACGACAUUA
This 26-nucleotide ribosomal RNA is filed under the name Ramaria aurea. Its description in RNAcentral is "partial 18S ribosomal RNA". Lineage: Eukaryota; Fungi; Basidiomycota; Agaricomycetes; Gomphales; Gomphaceae. The record is from RNAcentral.